AGCGGGAAAAGCCCACAUUGGUAAUCUCUACGCGAAAGUGUAGCGAAUUGUAAUCUGAAAUUGGCUAGUCUAACUGAACAGAACUUUCAAGUGCGCACGAGCGCGCCGCCAGAGAAGGUGAGAGCCCUGUACGGAGUUUUGUUCUACAAAGGCUGGUUAAUAAAGAGUCGUGUACUUUGAUACUAGUGCACUAAGCGGGAGAUAAACUUCUUCUAAGGCUAAAUACAAGUAGGAAACCGAUAGCGAACAAGUACUGUGAAGGAAAGAUGAAAAGCACUUUGGAAAGAAAGUUAAAAGACUUGAAAUCGUUGAGGCGGACCCGGUAGAAAUGUAUUCUAGCGAAGCGCUCUGGGAAGCCUGUAAUCGGGCCACUUGAGCGCAAGCCGAGACAAGAUGGAGUCGCACGAUGCCAGAGGGCGUGCGCGAGGGAGCUUGCUCCAGCGCGUGCUGUCCGGGUGUCGGGCGGCUUGAGGGGCCUUGCGCGAUCUUGUCAAAAUGGUUUUUACCGACUCGUCUUGAAACACGAACCAAGGAGUCUAAGACUAACGCGAGUAUGGUGGUGGAGAAACCAACAUGCGAAAUGAAAGUAAAUGAUGCCAAGCACCCUGCAGCAUCGACCGACCACUUUCUCUUGGAAGAGGUUUGAGUAAGAGCGUUAUUCUUAGGACCCGAAAGAUGGUGAAACUAU
This 688-nucleotide ribosomal RNA is filed under the name Tintinnopsis urnula. RNAcentral's name for it is "LSU rRNA". It matches the Rfam family "Eukaryotic large subunit ribosomal RNA", at positions 97 to 834 of the family's 3401-position model. Lineage: Eukaryota; Ciliophora; Spirotrichea; Tintinnida; Codonellidae. The record is from RNAcentral.